This 464-nucleotide ribosomal RNA is filed under the name uncultured bacterium. RNAcentral describes it as "partial 16S ribosomal RNA". It matches the Rfam family "Bacterial small subunit ribosomal RNA", at positions 29 to 507 of the family's 1533-position model. The record is from RNAcentral.
ACGCACGCUGGCGGCGUGCUUAACACAUGCCAGUCGAACGGAAAGGCCCUGCUUGCAGGGUACUCGAGUGGCGAACGGGUGAGUAACACGUGGGUGAUCUGCCCUGCACUUCGGGAUAAGCCUGGGAAACUGGGUCUAAUACCGGAUAGGAGCCAUUUUUAGUGUGAUGGUUGGAAAGUUUUUUCGGUGUAGGAUGAGCUCGCGGCCUAUCAGCUUGUUGGUGGGGUAAUGGCCUACCAAGGCGGCGACGGGUAGCCGGCCUGAGAGGGUGGACGGCCACAUUGGGACUGAGAUACGGCCCAGACUCCUACGGGAGGCAGCAGUGGGGAAUAUUGCACAAUGGGCGCAAGCCUGAUGCAGCGACGCCGCGGGGGGGAUGACGGCCUUCGGGUUGUAAACUCCUUUCGCUAGGGACGAAGCUUUUUGUGACGGUACCUAGAUAAGAAGCACCGGCUAACUACGUG